This 352-nucleotide ribosomal RNA is filed under the name Eurys sp. SS2. Its description in RNAcentral is "partial 16S ribosomal RNA". The record is from RNAcentral. Lineage: Eukaryota; Metazoa; Arthropoda; Insecta; Hymenoptera; Pergidae.
AUAAUAAUUUGUCUUUUAAUUGAAGGCUUGAAUGAAGGAUUGAAUGAGGUAUUAACUGUCUCAUUAAAAAUAAAUUUUUAAUUUAAUUUUUAAGUUAAAAAGCUUAAAUUUUAUUAUAGGACGAGAAGACCCUAUAGAAUUUAAUAAUUUUAUUUUAUAAAAAUUAUAAAAUUAAUUUUUUAUAAAGUAAAUUAUUUUAUUGGGGCGAUAAGAAAAUUUGAUAAACUUUUAUAAAUAAAAUUUUACAUUAAUUAAUGAAUUUUUGAUCCUAAUUUUUAGAUUAUUAGAAUAAAUUACCUUAGGGAUAACAGCGUUAUUUUUUUUAAAAGUUCAUAUUUAUAAAGAAGAUUGC